RNAcentral lists this ribosomal RNA (253 nucleotides) under uncultured bacterium. RNAcentral describes it as "partial 16S ribosomal RNA". It matches the Rfam family "Bacterial small subunit ribosomal RNA", at positions 524 to 776 of the family's 1533-position model. The record is from RNAcentral.
UACGUAGGUGGCAAGCGUUGUCCGGAUUUACUGGGCGUAAAGAGCGCGCAGGCGGUUGUUUAAGUCGAAUGUGAAAGCCCCCGGCUCAACUGGGGAGGGUCACGCGAUACUGAUCGACUCGAAGGCAGGAGAGGGUAGUGGAAUUCCCGGUGUAGCGGUGAAAUGCGCAGAUAUCGGGAGGAACACCAGUGGCGAAGGCGGCACUCUGGGCCAGUACUGACGCUGAGGAGCGAAAGCGUGGGGAGCGAACAGG